This is a long non-coding RNA of Bubalus bubalis (water buffalo), 1668 nucleotides long. RefSeq lists it as uncharacterized. The record is from RefSeq and is a predicted model, not a curated record. NCBI's taxonomy places the organism in Eukaryota, Metazoa, Chordata, Mammalia, Artiodactyla, Bovidae. The transcript has 3 exons.
GUGGAGGCGGGUUCAAGACCAGGGCCGGGGAGGCCAUUGCCACUUUCCAGAUGAGAGGUGGGUAAGACUUUCAACUAAGAUACAAGCUUUUCACAUAGUGUGGACACACACAUCCAAUUUUCCAACGGAAAAUUUUGGUGUGUUCUAUAGAAAAGCCCACUUGAGCUUGGUAGACACAAAGGUGGGAUUGUUCAAGAGGAACUCAUUUCUGUCUAAACAUUAUUUUUUAGUAUCAAGAGAUUUCGAGUAUGAGUUCGGUGCUCCUAGGUUAGGUCUAAGCAGCACAUACUCUGUGUCCUUGGCAUUUUUUGUUUUUGGAGACAUUUGUGAGGAAGUAAUUCUUAUCCUUUUGGGGUUUUAUUUGCUGCUUGCCUCUUCUCUGAAAUAUUUAGUUAUCUACUCUACUGGCAAGACUCUAGUCUGGGGAGUGAGCACCAUGUAUUAGCUCAUAUUUUCCACCUUUAGUUCCUUACUUCUUUCCUCAUAUUAUGUGGAAGAAAACUCUCAAGCAGCAAAACUGAGGAAAAGAUUUUAUCUCCUUUCCAUCACUCCCCAUUGACGGAUGUGUUUCCUUGUGUCCUGUUCCUUUAAAAUGGGAGACUGAAAGGUCUGCUCCUUCAUUCCAGAAUAGAGGUUCAGAAAGGCGCUGCAGGUACCCUGGACUCUGAUGGGGAGGGUAGGCUUGGGACUGCAGAUUCAGAACAGCCUUUGCCGCCUGAAUACCAGCUGGAAGAGGGGAGGGGAGGGGGUGAUGGUGACCAAUGCACAAUGUUAUCUAUCCAAACUCUCAUGCUUCAAAGGAACGUUGAUUUCAUUGUUCCCCAAAGGGGACCAGUAAAUAACGAGAUAUUGUCAGAAGCCCGGGUGUUUCCUGCUGGAGACAAGGAUGCUGCCAAGUGUUGGAAGCCUUGGAAUCUAGUCUGUAUGAGCCAUUUUUGAGGAGGAUGGGUUUGGACGAGUGACUUCACCUCUGAAAGAUGCAUUUCCACUUUGUAGAUAAUACAAGUGAUAAAUAAAACCUGUUGUUUGCCCUUACAGGUUGUGUGACAUUGGAUAUAGAAAUAUUUUGGAUACUGAGAAGUGCAUUUUGGAAAUGAUGAUCUAGCAGGAGGAUUUUCUCCUAAAUAUUAAACAAAGCACCACAGAAGCAGCUUUGAUGGUAACAAAGGGUUUGAAGAAGUAGAGAAAGUAUGCACAGUGCUCCUUUGGCUGGGCAGGAAUAUAUAAUGCUGUCUUGCUAAUCCACUACAAGAAGACCUAUGACUUGCUAAUCCAUUACAAGAAGACCUAUGACAGAUGCUUACAGGCUUCCUUUUGCCUUGCAGACUACUUUUCUAUCUCUCUUCCUUUGCAGGUUUUUACAAACUGAUUUCCAUGCCAGCCAAGGUAGACACCCAUUGGAAAGUAGACACUGGGAUUUAACAUUAUAAGAAGUUCAGAAAGACCAGCCCACCACUUGGGAGCCUUGGUUUGGCUGGCUCUCCAAACCCCUGGUCAGAUGGCUAUCUUUCAACUAAAACACAGGCUCAAACACCUUUUUAAAACCAAAUGACAUCAUGUCUGUUGGCAUAUAUUGUUCUAUACUGGAGAUGGGGAAGAGUUGCCCGCCCCUCCAUGAAACAACAUUUGAAGAGUUUAUCGUCAUCUUCCCGAAAAGUGAGCACCUGG